Molecule: ribosomal RNA, 497 nt
Filed under: uncultured bacterium
Lineage: Bacteria
Description: partial 16S ribosomal RNA
Rfam family: Bacterial small subunit ribosomal RNA
Source: RNAcentral
GAUGAACGCUGGCGGCGUGCCUAAUACAUGCAAGUCGAGCGAACAGACGAGGAGCUUGCUCCUCUGACGUUAGCGGCGGACGGGUGAGUAACACGUGGAUAACCUACCUAUAAGACUGGGAUAACUUCGGGAAACCGGAGCUAAUACCGGAUAACAUGUUGAACCGCAUGGUUCAACAGUGAAAGACGGUUUUGCUGUCACUUAUAGAUGGAUCCGCGUCGCAUUAGCUAGUUGGUAAGGUAACGGCUUACCAAGGCAACGAUGCGUAGCCGACCUGAGAGGGUGAUCGGCCACACUGGAACUGAGACACGGUCCAGACUCCUACGGGGGGCAGCAGUAGGGAAUCUUCCGCAAUGGGCGAAAGCCUGACGGAGCAACGCCGCGUGAGUGAAGAAGGUCUUCGGAUCGUAAAACUCUGUUAUUAGGGAAGAACAAAUGUGUAAGUAACUAUGCACGUCUUGACGGUACCUAAUCAGAAAGCCACGGCUAACUACGUG